Molecule: non-coding RNA, 180 nt
Filed under: Propionimicrobium lymphophilum
Lineage: Bacteria; Bacillati; Actinomycetota; Actinomycetes; Propionibacteriales; Propionibacteriaceae
Also listed under: 1 other name
Source: RNAcentral
UUUGCUAGCAAGCGAAUUGAGUAUCACCUAAUUAAUUGGUGGCAGGGAACAUCGGUGAGAAUCCGAGACUGACGCGCAGCGGUGAUGGAGACGAUUCGGCACGAAGCCACUGGGAAACCGGGAAGGCGCCGAAAUUGAUAGAUCCUGAGUCCGAAAACCUUUCAAUUCGUUCUUGGUUAA